RNAcentral lists this ribosomal RNA (524 nucleotides) under uncultured bacterium. RNAcentral describes it as "bacterial SSU rRNA". It matches the Rfam family "Bacterial small subunit ribosomal RNA", at positions 355 to 896 of the family's 1533-position model. The record is from RNAcentral.
UGGGGAAUAUUGGACAAUGGGGGCAACCCUGAUCCAGCAAUGCCGCGUGGGUGAUGAAGGCCUUCGGGUUGUAAAGCCCUUUCGCACGCGACGAUGAUGACGGUAGCGUGAGAAGAAGCCCCGGCUAACUUCGUGCCAGCAGCCGCGGUAAUACGAAGGGGGCGAGCGUUGUUCGGAAUUACUGGGCGUAAAGGGCGCGCAGGCGGCCGCUCAAGUCAGGCGUGAAAGCCCCGGGCUUAACCUGGGAAUUGCGCUUGGGACUGUGUGGCUGGAGUUCGGGAGAGGAGAGUGGAAUUCCCAGUGUAGAGGUGAAAUUCGUAGAUAUUGGGAAGAACACCGGUGGCGAAGGCGGCUCUCUGGACCGAUACUGACGCUGAGGCGCGAAAGCGUGGGGAGCAAACAGGACUAGAUACCCUGGUAGUCCACGCUGUAAACGAUGUGCGCUAGACGUUGGAGGACCUAGUUCUCCGGUGUCGCAGCUAACGCUUUAAGCGCACCGCCUGGGGAGUACGGCCGCAAGGUUA